UCCAUAGGUUAAUGAGGCGAACCGGGGGAACUGAAACAUCUAAGUACCCCGAGGAAAAGAAAUCAACCGAGAUUCCCCCAGUAGCGGCGAGCGAACGGGGAGCAGCCCAGAGCCUGAAUCAGUGUGUGUGUUAGUGGAAGCGUCUGGAAAGGCGUGCGAUACAGGGUGACAGCCCCGUACACAAAAAUGCACAUAUUGUGAGCUCGAUGAGUAGGGCGGGACACGUGGUAUCCUGUCUGAAUAUGGGGGGACCAUCCUCCAAGGCUAAAUACUCCUGACUGACCGAUAGUGAACCAGUACCGUGAGGGAAAGGCGAAAAGAACCCCGGCGAGGGGAGUGAAAAAGAACCUGAAACCGUGUACGUACAAGCAGUGGGAGCACGCUUAGGCGUGUGACUGCGUACCUUUUGUAUAAUGGGUCAGCGACUUAUAUUCUGUAGCAAGGUUAACCGAAUAGGGGAGCCGAAGGGAAACCGAGUCUUAACUGGGCGUUAAGUUGCAGGGUAUAGACCCGAAACCCGGUGAUCUAGCCAUGGGCAGGUUGAAGGUUGGGUAACACUAACUGGAGGACCGAACCGACUAAUGUUGAAAAAUUAGCGGAUGACUUGUGGCUGGGGGUGAAAGGCCAAUCAAACCGGGAGAUAGCUGGUUCUCCCCGAAAGCUAUUUAGGUAGCGCCUCGUGAAUUCAUCUCCGGGGGUAGAGCACUGUUUCGGCAAGGGGGUCAUCCCGACUUACCAACCCGAUGCAAACUGCGAAUACCGGAGAAUGUUAUCACGGGAGACACACGGCGGGUGCUAACGUCCGUCGUGAAGAGGGAAACAACCCAGACCGCCAGCUAAGGUCCCAAAGUCAUGGUUAAGUGGGAAACGAUGUGGGAAGGCCCAGACAGCCAGGAUGUUGGCUUAGAAGCAGCCAUCAUUUAAAGAAAGCGUAAUAGCUCACUGGUCGAGUCGGCCUGCGCGGAAGAUGUAACGGGGCUAAACCAUGCACCGAAGCUGCGGCAGCGACACUAUGUGUUGUUGGGUAGGGGAGCGUUCUGUAAGCCUGUGAAGGUGUACUGUGAGGUAUGCUGGAGGUAUCAGAAGUGCGAAUGCUGACAUAAGUAACGAUAAAGCGGGUGAAAAGCCCGCUCGCCGGAAGACCAAGGGUUCCUGUCCAACGUUAAUCGGGGCAGGGUGAGUCGACUCCUAAGGCGAGGCCGAAAGGCGUAGUCGAUGGGAAACAGGUUAAUAUUCCUGUACUUGGUGUUACUGCGAAGGGGGGACGGAGAAGGCUAUGUUGGCCGGGCGACGGUUGUCCCGGUUUAAGCGUGUAGGCUGGUUUUCCAGGCAAAUCCGGAAAACUAAGGCUGAGGCGUGAUGACGAGGCACUACGGUGCUGAAGCAACAAAUGCCCUGCUUCCAGGAAAAGCCUCUAAGCAUCAGGUAACAUCAAAUCGUACCCCAAACCGACACAGGUGGUCAGGUAGAGAAUACCAAGGCGCUUGAGAGAACUCGGGUGAAGGAACUAGGCAAAAUGGUGCCGUAACUUCGGGAGAAGGCACGCUGAUAUGUAGGUGAAGUCCCUCGCGGAUGGAGCUGAAAUCAGUCGAAGAUACCAGCUGGCUGCAACUGUUUAUUAAAAACACAGCACUGUGCAAACACGAAAGUGGACGUAUACGGUGUGACGCCUGCCCGGUGCCGGAAGGUUAAUUGAUGGGGUCAGCGCAAGCGAAGCUCUUGAUCGAAGCCCCGGUAAACGGCGGCCGUAACUAUAACGGUCCUAAGGUAGCGAAAUUCCUUGUCGGGUAAGUUCCGACCUGCACGAAUGGCGUAAUGAUGGCCAGGCUGUCUCCACCCGAGACUCAGUGAAAUUGAACUCGCUGUGAAGAUGCAGUGUACCCGCGGCAAGACGGAAAGACCCCGUGAACCUUUACUAUAGCUUGACACUGAACAUUGAGCCUUGAUGUGUAGGAUAGGUGGGAGGCUUUGAAGUGUGGACGCCAGUCUGCAUGGAGCCGACCUUGAAAUACCACCCUUUAAUGUUUGAUGUUCUAACGUUGACCCGUAAUCCGGGUUGCGGACAGUGUCUGGUGGGUAGUUUGACUGGGGCGGUCUCCUCCUAAAGAGUAACGGAGGAGCACGAAGGUUGGCUAAUCCUGGUCGGACAUCAGGAGGUUAGUGCAAUGGCAUAAGCCAGCUUGACUGCGAGCGUGACGGCGCGAGCAGGUGCGAAAGCAGGUCAUAGUGAUCCGGUGGUUCUGAAUGGAAGGGCCAUCGCUCAACGGAUAAAAGGUACUCCGGGGAUAACAGGCUGAUACCGCCCAAGAGUUCAUAUCGACGGCGGUGUUUGGCACCUCGAUGUCGGCUCAUCACAUCCUGGGGCUGAAGUAGGUCCCAAGGGUAUGGCUGUUCGCCAUUUAAAGUGGUACGCGAGCUGGGUUUAGAACGUCGUGAGACAGUUCGGUCCCUAUCUGCCGUGGGCGCUGGAGAACUGAGGGGGGCUGCUCCUAGUACGAGAGGACCGGAGUGGACGCAUCACUGGUGUUCGGGUUGUCAUGCCAAUGGCACUGCCCGGUAGCUAAAUGCGGAAGAGAUAAGUGCUGAAAGCAUCUAAGCACGAAACUUGCCCCGAGAUGAGUUCUCCCUGACUCCUUGAGAGUCCUGAAGGAACGUUGAAGACGACGACGUUGAUAGGUCGGGUGUGUAAGCGCAGCGAUGCGUUGAGCUAACCGGUACUAAUGAACCGUGAGGCUUAACCUUACAACGCCGAAGGUGUUU
This 2760-nucleotide ribosomal RNA is filed under the name Shigella dysenteriae. RNAcentral describes it as "partial 23S ribosomal RNA". It matches the Rfam family "Bacterial large subunit ribosomal RNA". The record is from RNAcentral. Lineage: Bacteria; Pseudomonadati; Pseudomonadota; Gammaproteobacteria; Enterobacterales; Enterobacteriaceae.